GACGAACGCUGGCGGCGUGCCUAAUACAUGCAAGUCGAACGCUGAAGAGAGGCGCUUGCUCUUCUUUGGUGAGUUGCGAACGGGUGUGUAACGCGUGGGUAACCCGCCUUGUAUUGGGGGAAAAUCAGUGGAAACGGGAGCUUAUACCGCAUAACAAUCGGCUGCAUAUGGCGGUUUGGUGAAAGGGGGCAUUGGUCCACUACAAGACGGACCUGCGUUGUAUUGGCUAGGAGGUGGGGUAACAGGGCAUCUAGGCGACGAUGCAUUGCCGACCUGACAGGGUGAUCGGCCACACUGGGACUGAGACACGGCCCAGACUCCUACGGGAGGCAGCAGUAGGGAAUCUUCGGCAAGGGGGGCAACCCUGACCGAGAAACGCCGAGGGAGGGAAGAAGGUUGUCGGAUCGUAAAGCUCUGUUGUAAGUCAAGAACGAGUGUGAGAGUGGAAAGUUUACACUGUGACGGUAGCUUAUCAGAAAGGGACGGCUAACUACGUG
RNAcentral lists this ribosomal RNA (497 nucleotides) under uncultured bacterium. Its description in RNAcentral is "partial 16S ribosomal RNA". It matches the Rfam family "Bacterial small subunit ribosomal RNA", at positions 28 to 507 of the family's 1533-position model. The record is from RNAcentral.